Molecule: long non-coding RNA, 745 nt
Filed under: Heterocephalus glaber (naked mole-rat)
Lineage: Eukaryota; Metazoa; Chordata; Mammalia; Rodentia; Bathyergidae
Description: lncRNA (ENSHGLG00000047824.1)
Source: RNAcentral
UGUAUUUGCAAAUACACUAUGAGGCUAGAGGUUGCCAGAGGCCAUUAGAGAGGAGGCAUGGAAAGCCCCCUGGAGAGCAAGAAGAAGGCUGGAACCUGGGCCAAGGCAGCCCAGGACUGAGAGCCAAGUAAGCAUGGGAAUUGUCCCAGCUAUAGUUUCUGGGAAAAUAAAUAGGCCUACCUGUUGACUUUUGACCUGCAGACUCCGUUCUUGCAAAAGGCAAACCAGACCAUACACUUUGGGGAUUCCCGCAAGAAGAUUCCUAAAACUGAAACUGGGGACUCUAGGAGGACACACAUCAUUAAGGAACUGGGCUUUCCUCUGAAGAGACUACCAAUUUGCAUUCCACCUACAAUGGAUGAGAAUCUCCAUCCUCCAAAGAUGAAAAAGAGGAUAUUAUCAUUCUUUUUAAUCUUUGCCAUCUGGAAGUUGCAUUCUGCUGAGCCCAGGAGUUAGAGAACAGACCACAGAGAUUUAAGUUCUCACUUGCGGGAAGUAGAUUUCAGUCCGCAUCCCAGCUCUGAAGCCCCAUUUCUCCUGGUGUAAAAUGAGCUGAAAGCAUCCUGGCUGAUUUCUGGAAAGUGUGAACUGUGAUAUUUCUGGAGAGCAAUCUGACUAUACACAUCACAAACUGAACUGCAUAUACUUGGCAAUACCACUUCUAGGAAUAUAUUUCAAAGAUAGAGAAGAUUGGAUGGACAAUGUAUAAAGAUAUUCAUGAAAUCAAUGUUUUUAACAACAAAAA